UUGGUUAAGUUAGAAAGGGCGCACGGUGGAUGCCUUGGCACUAGGAGCCGAAGAAGGACGGGACUAACACCGAUAUGCUUUGGGGAGCUGUACGUAAGCGUUGAUCCAGAGAUUUCCGAAUGGGGGAACCCACUAUCUUUAGUCGGAUAGUAUCCUUACGUGAAUACAUAGCGUGAGGAAGGCAGACCCAGGGAACUGAAACAUCUAAGUACCUGGAGGAAGAGAAAGAAAAAUCGAUUUCCUGAGUAGCGGCGAGCGAAACGGAAAGAGCCCAAACCAAGAAGCUUGCUUCUUGGGGUUGUAGGACACUCUAUACGGAGUUACAAAAGAAAGUUAUAAAUGAAGCGGUCUGGAAAGGCCCGCCAAAGACGGUAACAGCCCGGUAGUUGAAAUGGCUUUCCCUCCAGAGUGGAUCCUGAGUACGGCGGAACACGUGAAAUUCCGUCGGAAUCCGGGAGGACCAUCUCCCAAGGCUAAAUACUCCCUAGUGACCGAUAGUGAACCAGUACCGUGAGGGAAAGGUGAAAAGCACCCCGGAAGGGGAGUGAAACAGUUCCUGAAACCGUGUGCCUACAAGUAGUUAGAGCCCGUUAAUGGGUGAUAGCGUGCCUUUUGUAGAAUGAACCGGCGAGUUACGAUUUGUUGCAAGGUUAAGCGGAAAAAGCGGAGCCGUAGCGAAAGCGAGUCUGAAUAGGGCGCAUAAGUAACAGGUCGUAGACCCGAAACCAGGUGAUCUACCCAUGUCCAGGAUGAAGGUAAGGUAAUACUUACUGGAGGUCCGAACCCACGCACGUUGAAAAGUGCGGGGAUGAGGUGUGGGUAGCGGAGAAAUUCCAAUCGAACUUGGAGAUAGCUGGUUCUCUCCGAAAUAGCUUUAGGGCUAGCCUCGAGGUAAAGAGUCAUGGAGGUAGAGCACUGUUUGGACUAGGGGCCCUUCUCGGGUUACCGAAUUCAGAUAAACUCCGAAUGCCAUGUAC
Molecule: ribosomal RNA, 977 nt
Filed under: Listeria monocytogenes
Lineage: Bacteria; Bacillati; Bacillota; Bacilli; Caryophanales; Listeriaceae
Description: partial 23S ribosomal RNA
Rfam family: Bacterial large subunit ribosomal RNA
Source: RNAcentral